Molecule: ribosomal RNA, 1538 nt
Filed under: Salmonella enterica
Lineage: Bacteria; Pseudomonadati; Pseudomonadota; Gammaproteobacteria; Enterobacterales; Enterobacteriaceae
Description: bacterial SSU rRNA
Rfam family: Bacterial small subunit ribosomal RNA
Source: RNAcentral
UUGAAGAGUUUGAUCAUGGCUCAGAUUGAACGCUGGCGGCAGGCCUAACACAUGCAAGUCGAACGGUAACAGGAAGCAGCUUGCUGCUUUGCUGACGAGUGGCGGACGGGUGAGUAAUGUCUGGGAAACUGCCUGAUGGAGGGGGAUAACUACUGGAAACGGUGGCUAAUACCGCAUAACGUCGCAAGACCAAAGAGGGGGACCUUCGGGCCUCUUGCCAUCAGAUGUGCCCAGAUGGGAUUAGCUAGUUGGUGAGGUAACGGCUCACCAAGGCGACGAUCCCUAGCUGGUCUGAGAGGAUGACCAGCCACACUGGAACUGAGACACGGUCCAGACUCCUACGGGAGGCAGCAGUGGGGAAUAUUGCACAAUGGGCGCAAGCCUGAUGCAGCCAUGCCGCGUGUAUGAAGAAGGCCUUCGGGUUGUAAAGUACUUUCAGCGGGGAGGAAGGUGUUGUGGUUAAUAACCACAGCAAUUGACGUUACCCGCAGAAGAAGCACCGGCUAACUCCGUGCCAGCAGCCGCGGUAAUACGGAGGGUGCAAGCGUUAAUCGGAAUUACUGGGCGUAAAGCGCACGCAGGCGGUCUGUCAAGUCGGAUGUGAAAUCCCCGGGCUCAACCUGGGAACUGCAUUCGAAACUGGCAGGCUUGAGUCUUGUAGAGGGGGGUAGAAUUCCAGGUGUAGCGGUGAAAUGCGUAGAGAUCUGGAGGAAUACCGGUGGCGAAGGCGGCCCCCUGGACAAAGACUGACGCUCAGGUGCGAAAGCGUGGGGAGCAAACAGGAUUAGAUACCCUGGUAGUCCACGCCGUAAACGAUGUCUACUUGGAGGUUGUGCCCUUGAGGCGUGGCUUCCGGAGCUAACGCGUUAAGUAGACCGCCUGGGGAGUACGGCCGCAAGGUUAAAACUCAAAUGAAUUGACGGGGGCCCGCACAAGCGGUGGAGCAUGUGGUUUAAUUCGAUGCAACGCGAAGAACCUUACCUGGUCUUGACAUCCACAGAACUUUCCAGAGAUGGAUUGGUGCCUUCGGGAACUGUGAGACAGGUGCUGCAUGGCUGUCGUCAGCUCGUGUUGUGAAAUGUUGGGUUAAGUCCCGCAACGAGCGCAACCCUUAUCCUUUGUUGCCAGCGGUUAGGCCGGGAACUCAAAGGAGACUGCCAGUGAUAAACUGGAGGAAGGUGGGGAUGACGUCAAGUCAUCAUGGCCCUUACGACCAGGGCUACACACGUGCUACAAUGGCGCAUACAAAGAGAAGCGACCUCGCGAGAGCAAGCGGACCUCAUAAAGUGCGUCGUAGUCCGGAUUGGAGUCUGCAACUCGACUCCAUGAAGUCGGAAUCGCUAGUAAUCGUGGAUCAGAAUGCCACGGUGAAUACGUUCCCGGGCCUUGUACACACCGCCCGUCACACCAUGGGAGUGGGUUGCAAAAGAAGUAGGUAGCUUAACCUUCGGGAGGGCGCUUACCACUUUGUGAUUCAUGACUGGGGUGAAGUCGUAACAAGGUAACCGUAGGGGAACCUGCGGUUGGAUCACCUCCUU